GGGAAGGUGGCUCAGUGGUAGAGUGCUUGCUUUGCAUGCAUGAGGCACUGGGUUCGAUUCCUUAGCAUCACA
Molecule: transfer RNA, 72 nt
Filed under: Dipodomys ordii (Ord's kangaroo rat)
Lineage: Eukaryota; Metazoa; Chordata; Mammalia; Rodentia; Heteromyidae
Rfam family: tRNA
About the family: Transfer RNA (tRNA) molecules are approximately 80 nucleotides in length.
Source: Rfam by way of RNAcentral